CCGAGUUCGUGCCCCCCAGCGGGGUAGAUCUCCCACCCUGUGUUAUUAUACCUUUGUUGCUUUGGCGGGCCGCCCUCGGCUACCGGCCCCGGCUGGUACGCGCCCGCCAGAGGACCCCAAACUCUGAAUGUUAGUGUCGUCUGAGUACUAUACAAUAGUUA
Molecule: unclassified non-coding RNA, 161 nt
Filed under: uncultured Helotiales
Lineage: Eukaryota; Fungi; Ascomycota; Leotiomycetes; Helotiales
Description: sequence contains ITS1
Source: RNAcentral